Molecule: transfer RNA, 85 nt
Filed under: Felis catus (domestic cat)
Lineage: Eukaryota; Metazoa; Chordata; Mammalia; Carnivora; Felidae
Rfam family: tRNA
About the family: Transfer RNA (tRNA) molecules are approximately 80 nucleotides in length. Their secondary structure includes four short double-helical elements and three loops (D, anti-codon, and T loops).
Source: Rfam by way of RNAcentral
GCCUGGGUGGCUCAGUCGGUUGAGCAUCCGACUUUGGCUCAGGUCACGAUCUCACAGUUUGUGGGUUCAAGCCCCGCAUCAGGCU